CCUCCGUAGGUGAACCUGCGGAAGGAUCAUUACUGAGUGAGGGCCCUCUGGGUCCAACCUCCCACCCGUGUUUAUUGUACCUUGUUGCUUCGGUGAGCCCGCCUCACGGCCGCCGGGGGGCAUCUGCCCCCGGGCCCGCGCUCGCCGAAGACACCCUCGAACUCUGUCUGAAGUUUGCAGUCUGAGCGAAAACUAAAUAAGUUAAAACUUUCAACAACGGAUCUCUUGGUUCCG
RNAcentral lists this unclassified non-coding RNA (234 nucleotides) under plant metagenome. RNAcentral's name for it is "partial contains small subunit ribosomal RNA, internal transcribed spacer 1, and 5.8S ribosomal RNA". The record is from RNAcentral.